RNAcentral lists this unclassified non-coding RNA (263 nucleotides) under plant metagenome. Its description in RNAcentral is "partial contains small subunit ribosomal RNA, internal transcribed spacer 1, and 5.8S ribosomal RNA". The record is from RNAcentral.
UCUCCGUAGGUGAACCUGCGGAAGGAUCAUUAUUGUAUAACCGAGGUGCGAGGGCUGUCGCUGACCCGAAAGGUCGUGCACGCCCGAGUGCCCUCACACACAUCCAUCUCACCCCUAUGUGCACCACCGCGUGGGUCCCCCUUUGGCUUGUUCGGAGGGGGGCUUACGUUUUCACACAAACUUUGUAUGCAGUGUAGAAUGUAUUUUUUGUUUUUGCGAUCACGCAAUCAAUACAACUUUCAACAACGGAUCUCUUGGCUCUG